UCCGAGUUGUCCCCGGCAGUCUCCUUAGAGUCCCCGGCAUUACCCGCUGGCAACUAAGGACAGGGGUUGCGCUCGUUGCGGCACUUAAGCCAACACCUCACGGCACGAGCUGACGACAACCAUGCACCACCUGUAUAGGACGCCGAAGCACACCAUAUCUCUAUGGCUUUUCCCUAUAUUUCAAGCCCUGGUAAGGUUCUUCGCGUUGCGUCGAAUUAAGCCACAUGCUCCGCCGCUUGUGCGGGCCCCCGUCAAUUCCUUUGAGUUUUAGCCUUGCGGCCGUACUCCCCAGGCGGGGUGCUUAAUGCGUUAGCUUCGGCACGGAAAGGGUCAAUACUCCCCACACCUAGCACCCAACGUUUACGGCUGGGACUAC
RNAcentral lists this unclassified non-coding RNA (376 nucleotides) under uncultured Actinomycetes bacterium. Its description in RNAcentral is "uncultured actinobacterium contains 16S-23S intergenic spacer region". The record is from RNAcentral. Lineage: Bacteria; Bacillati; Actinomycetota; Actinomycetes.